GCGUUCCUACGGGGCGCAGCAGUGGGGAAUAUUGGACAAUGGGGGGAACCCUGAUCCAGCGACGCCGCGUGAGUGAAGAAGUAUUUCGGUAUGUAAAGCUCUAUCAGCAGGGAAGAAAGAAAUGACGGUACCUGACUAAGAAGCCCCGGCUAACUACGUGCCAGCAGCCGCGGUAAUACGUAGGGGGCAAGCGUUAUCCGGAUUUACUGGGUGUAAAGGGAGCGUAGACGGCAAUGCAAGUCUGGAGUGAAAGGCGGGGGCCCAACCCCCGGACUGCUCUGGAAACUGUAUAGCUGGAGUGCAGG
This 305-nucleotide ribosomal RNA is filed under the name uncultured bacterium. RNAcentral describes it as "bacterial SSU rRNA". It matches the Rfam family "Bacterial small subunit ribosomal RNA", at positions 333 to 652 of the family's 1533-position model. The record is from RNAcentral.